RNAcentral lists this ribosomal RNA (917 nucleotides) under uncultured bacterium. Its description in RNAcentral is "bacterial SSU rRNA". It matches the Rfam family "Bacterial small subunit ribosomal RNA", at positions 26 to 934 of the family's 1533-position model. The record is from RNAcentral.
AGAUUGAACGCUGGCGGCAGGCUUAACACAUGCAAGUCGAGCGGUAACAGGGGGAGCUUGCUCCCCGCUGACGAGCGGCGGACGGGUGAGUAAUGCAUAGGAAACUGCCCAGUAGUGGGGGAUAGCCCGGGGAAACCCGGAUUAAUACCGCAUACGCCCUUCGGGGGAAAGCAGGGGAUCUUCGGACCUUGCGCUAUUGGAUGUGCCUAUGUCGGAUUAGCUAGUUGGUGGGGUAAGAGCCUACCAAGGCGACGAUCCGUAGCUGGUCUGAGAGGAUGAUCAGCCACAUCGGGACUGAGACACGGCCCGAACUCCUACGGGAGGCAGCAGUGGGGAAUAUUGGACAAUGGGGGCAACCCUGAUCCAGCCAUGCCGCGUGUGUGAAGAAGGCUUUCGGGUUGUAAAGCACUUUCAGUGAGGAGGAAAACCUUACGACUAAUACUCGUGAGGCUUGACGUUACUCACAGAAGAAGCACCGGCUAACUCCGUGCCAGCAGCCGCGGUAAUACGGAGGGUGCAAGCGUUAAUCGGAAUUACUGGGCGUAAAGCGCGCGUAGGUGGUUUGAUAAGCGAGAUGUGAAAGCCCCGGGCUCAACCUGGGAACGGCAUUUCGAACUGUCAGGCUAGAGUAUGGUAGAGGAGUGUGGAAUUUCCUGUGUAGCGGUGAAAUGCGUAGAUAUAGGAAGGAACACCAGUGGCGAAGGCGGCACUCUGGACCAAUACUGACACUGAGGUGCGAAAGCGUGGGGAACAAACAGGAUUAGAUACCCUGGUAGUCCACGCUGUAAACGAUGUCAACUAGCCGUUGGGACUCUUGAAGUCUUAGUGGCGCAGCUAACGCACUAAGUUGACCGCCUGGGGAGUACGGCCGCAAGGUUAAAACUCAAAUGAAUUGACGGGGGCCCGCACAAGCGGUG